AACAGAUCUUUGCUCUGGAUGGUGAGAUAGAUGAGAUCGUGGGUCAUACCUAUUUGUUUCUCAAAGAGCAACUUGAACUUUCCACAAUGCCACCUCCGUCUGGCAUUCUUCAUGGAACCAUAAUAGAUCAAUUUAUUGCUUGUGGGAAAUCAAGAGACGCUGCCCAUGAGCUUGCUUCCCAGAUCUGGCUAACUGUUCUCGAUAAUUUGGAGGAAAAUGAGCACACGUUUCUCUUACUUAAACGCCUUGCACAAGAGGGCGAUGUUUUUCUUCCAUACCCGUACACAAAAUCCAUUAAAGUACAAUGGAGGGUUUUUGAGAAGCUUUUCACUGA
This 334-nucleotide unclassified non-coding RNA is filed under the name Hevea brasiliensis (rubber tree). The record is from RNAcentral. Lineage: Eukaryota; Viridiplantae; Streptophyta; Magnoliopsida; Malpighiales; Euphorbiaceae.